Molecule: long non-coding RNA, 394 nt
Filed under: Gossypium raimondii (Peruvian cotton)
Lineage: Eukaryota; Viridiplantae; Streptophyta; Magnoliopsida; Malvales; Malvaceae
Description: long non-coding RNA (GRAI_LNC006660)
Source: RNAcentral
UAUUUUUAUACUAACUUCAUAAUUAUUCCUAUUUAAUAUUUAUGGACUCGGUUUACAGAAAUGAGAUUUUGAAAUCUCAUUUUCUGACACCACUAGAAACUGGGUUGUUAUACUUGUAGAAGCCCAAUUUCACCCGGGCCCAUUACAAACAAAUAAAAUACAUACACCCAAACCUCAACCCACCUAAACACUAACCCAACACCCAUGACCCAAACAUCAGCCCAAAUAAAUUAAAACCCUAAUGGCCUAACAAGCCCAAAACCUAAACUAUUUUCAGCCAAAAAAAAAGAAAGAAACAAAAAAAACCUAGCCGCUCUCCCUAGCUUAGCGCCGCAACCACCCUUGGUCUUCUGCUCACCUGCUCUGCCAGCAACCACCGCCAACUGCCACUGUC